UACGUAGGGGGCUAGCGUUGUCCGGAAUCAUUGGGCGUAAAGCGCGUGUAGGCGGUCCGGUAAGUCUGCUGUGAAAGUCGGGGGCUCAACCCUCGAAUGCCGGUGGAUACUGUCGGGCUAGAGUGCGGAAGAGGCGAGUGGAAUUCCUGGUGUAGCGGUGAAAUGCGCAGAUAUCAGGAGGAACACCUAUUGCGAAGGCAGCUCGCUGGGACGU
RNAcentral lists this ribosomal RNA (214 nucleotides) under uncultured bacterium. Its description in RNAcentral is "partial 16S ribosomal RNA". It matches the Rfam family "Bacterial small subunit ribosomal RNA", at positions 524 to 737 of the family's 1533-position model. The record is from RNAcentral.